UGCCCUAGGGACAGAGACAACCCCGGGAAACUGGGGCUAAUCCCUGAUAGGUGAAGAACUCUGGAAUGAGUCUCCGCCCAAAAGACGCUUACAUCAUGCUGUAGGCGUCGCCUUAGGAUGGGGCCGCGACCGAUCAGGUUGUUGGUGAGGUAACGGCUCACCAAGCCAUUUACCGGUACGGGCCGUGAGAGCGGGAGCCCGGAGAUGGGCACUGAGACAAGGGCCCAGGCCCUACGGGGCGCAGCAGUCGCGCAAACUUUGCAAUACACGAAAGUGUGACAGGGCUAUCCCGAGUGCCGCCCGCUGAGGGUGGCUUUUACCCAGUAUAACAAGCUGGGAGAAUAAGGAGAGGGCAAGACUGGUGU
RNAcentral lists this ribosomal RNA (365 nucleotides) under uncultured archaeon. Its description in RNAcentral is "bacterial SSU rRNA". It matches the Rfam family "Archaeal small subunit ribosomal RNA", at positions 110 to 458 of the family's 1478-position model. The record is from RNAcentral.